This 1178-nucleotide long non-coding RNA is filed under the name Pongo abelii (Sumatran orangutan). Its description in RNAcentral is "lincRNA". Lineage: Eukaryota; Metazoa; Chordata; Mammalia; Primates; Hominidae. The record is from RNAcentral.
CAGUGCCCACUUUGUUCACCUCUGCUCACUGGGGGAGCCAGGACCCGGAUCCAGGUUUUCUGACUCCAGGUCUCAGGCUUGCUCCAUAGCGCCACCUGCUGGUGACGGCAAUCGGUAGGCACCCAAAUCAAGUCUCAGAUUUCCUCAUCUCAGAAGUUGUCAGCUUCUCCGACCUCCACGGUAACUCGGAACCACACUGUGGAGUUAUCCCUGUGUCCUCUUUCUCGGAAGUUCCACAUCCAACCCCUCAGCAGGUCUCAGCGGCACUCUCACCACCUCCUCUGCUCUGUUCCUGUUUCUCUUGGAUGGCCGAAUGUUUCCUAAGGGGUGCCUGCUGCUUCACGCUUGCCCCCUGGAGUGGCAUCUAAAAGGUGCAGGAUACCCUACAACUAACAGACAUGAUGCCAUCAAGACAUCUUGAGCUUGGCUACCUCUCGUGGCCUGUAUUUUGUCCACAGGAAACUCGCGCAGUCUUACUACAGCAAAUUGAGGUGGUAUGGGGUGCCUGCUGCUGUCUCUCUCCUCACCUUUCCACAGAGGGCUGCCCCAGCCUGACCCCCACUUCCAGAGUUUCUCCAGCCAGGAGAAUCCUGAAAUCUCUGUAAAUAAGCAAUCCAGGAGCCAGAGAAUCAUGGGAUCUCAUACAAACAAAUCAUCCAGGAAAAACACAACCAGAGUCUCCUUUCGGUAAACCUCCAUGACUGGGGAUCCCCUGCCACCCAGAAAGCAGUUUUGCCUGCCAUGCUUGUCAUCACUGAUUUUUACUGCUGCAGCAGACUCCGUCAGACCCGCCUGCUUCUUCAGCGAAUUGUUCAGUGCACACCACCAGCUACCUGCUGUAAGCAUUUGCACUCUUCUUUCUGCCUGGCAGCGUUUCUCAGCUGAACACAGGCCAGGCCAGAAGUGCCAGGGAUUUAAUGCCCUUGGAAGCAGCUCUCUACCAACGACAAAUGGAGCUGGUGGAUAAAUUCUCAGCUUUCUCCCCUCUCAGGUGGAACAGCCCUGAGAUGUGCUCUCUGCAGUCUCCCACAAGUCCCCAGCAGACUCAAGCUCCCAUUGUCCAACCCUGGUAACCUGCUCAUCGACACCCGUGUCUUGCCUUCCCUUCCUGGCCUCACUUUCUCUCUCUCUUACUGUUGCCUCCUGAGAUCGCAUCCAAAAUAAAUGACCUGCACCCA